CCCCUAGAUGUUCUGGGCCGCACGCGCGCUACACUGAACAGUUCAACAAGUCUUAACCUUGGCCGAUAGGUCUGGGUAAUCUUUGAACGCUGUUCGUGAUUGGGAUAGACCUUUGCAAUUAUGGGUCUUCAACGAGGAAUUCCUAGUAAACGCAAGUCAUCAGCCUGCAUUGAUUACGUCCCUGCCCUUUGUACACACCGCCCGUCGCACCUACCGAUUGAAUGGUCCGGUGAAAUCUCGGGACGGCGGCUUGGUCGCUUGCGUCCGACUGCUGAAACUUGAUUAAACCAUAUCAUUUAGAGGAAGGUGAAGUCGUAACA
This 320-nucleotide ribosomal RNA is filed under the name uncultured eukaryote. RNAcentral's name for it is "partial 18S ribosomal RNA". It matches the Rfam family "Eukaryotic small subunit ribosomal RNA", at positions 1470 to 1796 of the family's 1831-position model. The record is from RNAcentral.